This is a long non-coding RNA of Diceros bicornis minor, 483 nucleotides long. RefSeq lists it as uncharacterized. The record is from RefSeq and is a predicted model, not a curated record. Lineage: Eukaryota; Metazoa; Chordata; Mammalia; Perissodactyla; Rhinocerotidae. The transcript is spliced from 3 exons.
GUGUAUUUCUCAGUUACUCGUCUGGCAUCAGCCUCCGCAGUCACACACGGCUUGGCCACUGACGAGGAGCUUGACCCCGGACAAAUCAGGAUUAGCAUCUAUACUCUGAAGCCGGGGGACAUGGAAAUCUGAUGGCUGGAAUCUUCCACAAAAGCAGGACGCAGGGCAGCCUCAGGAUGCACAGCCUUCCCCAUGAAGGACUUGCCUCGUGCACCCGCAGUCUGGGGACACAGCGGUCCUCACAGACUGAAUGUGUCGGAGCCCUGAGGCCCUGGGGUCCAGGCCCCCGAUGAUCGUGGGCACGCUGAAGGCUCCGUCUCCCAGGCAGACGCGGGACAGCGCCUAGCUCAGGGCGAGGGCCGUGCCAUCGGCCAGGGCCCGGGCCCCGACCACAGACGCCCCUAGGUGCUCUCAGCCCACGAGACCAAGACAGCUCCUUUGGAUGGCCUUGGGUGACCCCCUCUGUCCAGUACGAAACCAAGG